CCCCGUGUAUCCUCAACAUCUGCAAUCACUACUUUAGCGCCAUGUCUGGCAAAUAGUCUUACAGUGGCCUCUCCAAUUCCUCUGGCACCGCCUGUUACUAUAGCAAUUUUCCCUUCCAACCUUCUAGGAGAGGGAGGAUUGUUUUCCGUUCCCAAGACAUGAAUGCCGUGAAGGGUUGUCUCUGGCAUCACUUGAACAGGCA
RNAcentral lists this unclassified non-coding RNA (202 nucleotides) under Hevea brasiliensis (rubber tree). Lineage: Eukaryota; Viridiplantae; Streptophyta; Magnoliopsida; Malpighiales; Euphorbiaceae. The record is from RNAcentral.